UGCGGAAGGAUCAUUCGCACGCAAACUGCAUCCAAUACAUAGUGAACCUUGGGUGUGAGGUUCCGCCUGUGUGUGUCAAAUAACACUGUGCGGAAGCUCGAGGGCAGCGGGGCGGAGAUGGCGAUCCUCUCUUCGGGGCGCUUCCUCUCUGUGCUCGUUGUCACAUACCUUUUCCCACCACAAUCUUAUGCUUGUUCUUGCUCGAAGACACAUGUUGUAAAAAAGCUUUACAACUUUCAGCGACGGAUAUCUCGGCUCAAGCAACGAUGAAGGGCGCAGCGAAGUGUGAUAAGCAUUGUGAAUUGCAGAUUUCCGUGAGCCAACAGAAACCUGAACGCAUUCUGCGCUUUCGGGAUAUUCCUGAAAGCAUGCCUGCUUCAGUGUCUACUUCUUUCUGCCAGCGAAGCGCUCGCCUCGUUGCGAGCGAGUCGCUCGGCGUUGUGUGCGUUAGGCUUGGUCGUCCGCUGCUUCCUCGGAGGUGUGUGCGGGCGUUUCGAACUUGACGCAUGGAGCGCAUGUGUGAGUUAUGGCGCGCCUUGGCAAUGUAUUGGAUGGUUCUAGCCACCUCUAUGCUUUGCGAGGCUGCGGCGAAGCUCGCCUGCUUUCGCUCUUACUUUACCUCAAGACAUGAAGCCAGGUCAGCAAACCCGCUGAAUUUAAGCAUAUCAAU
Molecule: ribosomal RNA, 670 nt
Filed under: Peridiniopsis sp. QZ-2012
Lineage: Eukaryota; Dinophyceae; Peridiniales; Peridiniopsidaceae
Description: eukaryotic LSU rRNA
Rfam family: 5.8S ribosomal RNA (bases 232-386)
Source: RNAcentral